CAUUUAAUUGCAGAGGAUGCUUCGGGAGCGGUCCCCAUCUAAGUGCCCUGGAACGGGACGUCAUAGAGGGUGAGAAUCCCGUAUGGGAUGGGGUGUCCGCGCCCAUGUGAAGCUCCUUCGACGAGUCGAGUUGUUUGGGAAUGCAGCUCUAAAUGGGUGGUAAAUUUCAUCUAAAGCUAAAUAUUGGCCGGAGACCGAUAGCGCACAAGUAGAGUGAUCGAAAGAUGAAAAGCACUUUGAAAAGAGAGUUAAAAAGCACGUGAAAUUGUUGAAAGGGAAGCGCUUGCGACCAGACUCGCUCGUGGGGUUCAGCCGGCAUUCGUGCCGGUGUACUUCCCCGCGAGCGGGCCAGCGUCGGUUUGGGCGGUCAGUCAAAGGCCUCUGGAAGGUAACGCCCCCUCGGGGGCGUCUUAUAGCCAGGGGUGCAAUGUGGCCUGCCCGGACCGAGGAACGCGCUUCGGCUCGGACGCUGGCAUAAUGGUCGUAAGCGACCCGUCUUGAAACACGGACCAAGGAGUCUAACAUCUAUGCGAGUGUUCGGGUGUCAAACCCGUGCGCGCAGUGAAAGCGAACGGAGGUGGGAACCCUCACGGGUGCACCAUCGACCGAUCCUGAUGUCUUCGGAUGGAUUUGAGUAAGAGCAUAGCUGUUGGGACCCGAAAGAUGGUGAACUAUG
RNAcentral lists this ribosomal RNA (676 nucleotides) under Penicillium olsonii. Its description in RNAcentral is "partial large subunit ribosomal RNA". It matches the Rfam family "Eukaryotic large subunit ribosomal RNA", at positions 143 to 835 of the family's 3401-position model. Lineage: Eukaryota; Fungi; Ascomycota; Eurotiomycetes; Eurotiales; Aspergillaceae. The record is from RNAcentral.